Myotis davidii is the source of this 559-nucleotide long non-coding RNA. RefSeq lists it as uncharacterized. The record is from RefSeq and is a predicted model, not a curated record. NCBI's taxonomy places the organism in Eukaryota, Metazoa, Chordata, Mammalia, Chiroptera, Vespertilionidae. The transcript is spliced from 2 exons.
CCGCUUCCCUCCCUCCCUACUCGAGGAGAACUGAAACCCUGACGCCGCGUUCCGGCCUCCGCCAACCCCAGCUCCGGCCCGCGACCUGGUCACGCUGAGCUGCACACCAUGUUUUCCCUUUAGCUCCUGGCCGAGGGCCGGCCGAGGCUUCCGGCUUCCCUCUGACGCUGCUUUCUAGCUUCCAGAUCCGCAGCUGCAUCUCUUCGCUUCGGGGCUUGCCCUGCUGGGCCGCGACCUGAGCCGUCUUUCCCCGCCAGGACCAGCCCACUGGUAGGGGGCCGAGCGGGCACUAAGGCAGAGGGGACCGCCGCUCCCGCCCCGAAGUAGCUGGGAAGAACCAGGCAGGAGCGGACGUCUCAGCCUUUAGAGGCCAUUCCUCUAACUAAUGCUAUUCGGAUUGUGACCCAAGGACAGGAGGAUACUUUUGUCUUGCAUUGGGAGACGAGUCCCUUCUGGGUUGACCAGCAAAGCCUCCAAAAACUCUGAGCCUUUCUUGUAAAGUUUGUAGAGUGUGAUUACAAACAACAACAGACUCUAAAAGAAAACAACAGAAGUUGAA